GAUGAACGCUGGCGGCGUGCCUAAUAUAUGCGAGUCGAGCGAACGGACGAGAAGCUUGCUUCUCUGAUGUUAGCGGCGGACGGGUGAGUAACACGUGGAUAACCUACCCAUAAGACUGGGAUAACUUCGGGAAACCGGGGCUAAUACCGGAUAAUAUUUUGAACCGCAUGGUUCAAAAGUGAAAGACGGUCUUGCUGUCACUUAUGGAUGGAUCCGCGCUGCAUUAGCUAGUUGGUAAGGUAACGGCUUACCAAGGCAACGAUGCAUAGCCGACCUGAGAGGGUGAUCGGCCACACUGGAACUGAGACACGGUCCAGACUCCUACGGGAGGCAGCAGUAGGGAAUCUUCCGCAAUGGGCGAAAGCCUGACGGAGCAACGCCGCGUGAGUGAUGAAGGUCUUCGGAUCGUAAAACUCUGUUAUUAGGGAAGAACAUAUGUGUAAGUAACUGUGCACAUCUUGACGGUACCUAAUCAGAAAGCCACGGCUAACUACGUGCCAGCAGCCGCGGUAAUACGUAGGUGGCAAGCGUUAUCCGGAAUUAUUGGGCGUAAAGCGCGCGUAGGCGGUUUUUUAAGUCUGAUGUGAAAGCCCACGGCUCAACCGUGGAGGGUCAUUGGAAACUGGAAAACUUGAGUGCAGAAGAGGAAAGUGGAAUUCCAUGUGUAGCGGUGAAAUGCGCAGAGAUAUGGAGGAACACCAGUGGCGAAGGCGACUUUCUGGUCUGUAACUGACGCUGAUGUGCGAAAGCGUGGGGAUCAAACAGGAUUAGAUACCCUGGUAGUCCACGCCGUAAACGAUGAGUGCUAAGUGUUAGGGGGUUUCCGCCCCUUAGUGCUGCAGCUAACGCAUUAAGCACUCCGCCUGGGGAGUACGACCGCAAGGUUGAAACUCAAAGGAAUUGACGGGGACCCGCACAAGCGGUGGAGCAUGUGGUUUAAUUCGAAGCAACGCGAAGAACCUUACCAAAUCUUGACAUCCUUUGACAACUCUAGAGAUAGAGCCUUCCCCUUCGGGGGACAAAGUGACAGGUGGUGCAUGGUUGUCGUCAGCUCGUGUCGUGAGAUGUUGGGUUAAGUCCCGCAACGAGCGCAACCCUUAAGCUUAGUUGCCAUCAUUAAGUUGGGCACUCUAAGUUGACUGCCGGUGACAAACCGGAGGAAGGUGGGGAUGACGUCAAAUCAUCAUGCCCCUUAUGAUUUGGGCUACACACGUGCUACAAUGGACAAUACAAAGGGCAGCGAAACCGCGAGGUCAAGCAAAUCCCAUAAAGUUGUUCUCAGUUCGGAUUGUAGUCUGCAACUCGACUACAUGAAGCUGGAAUCGCUAGUAAUCGUAGAUCGGCAUGCUACGGUGAAUACGUUCCCGGGUCU
RNAcentral lists this ribosomal RNA (1372 nucleotides) under uncultured bacterium. RNAcentral's name for it is "bacterial SSU rRNA". It matches the Rfam family "Bacterial small subunit ribosomal RNA", at positions 28 to 1381 of the family's 1533-position model. The record is from RNAcentral.